Molecule: ribosomal RNA, 484 nt
Filed under: uncultured bacterium
Lineage: Bacteria
Description: partial 16S ribosomal RNA
Rfam family: Bacterial small subunit ribosomal RNA
Source: RNAcentral
AUUGAACGCUGGCGGCAUGCUUUACACAUGCAAGUCGAACGGCAGCGCGGGCUUCGGCCUGGCGGCGAGUGGCGAACGGGUGAGUAAUACAUCGGAACGUGCCCAGUAGUGGGGGAUAGCUCGGCGAAAGCCGGAUUAAUACCGCAUACGACCUGAGGGGGAAAGCGGGGGAUCUUCGGACCUCGCGCUAUUGGAGCGGCCGAUGGCAGAUUAGCUAGUUGGUGGGGUAAAGGCCUACCAAGGCGACGAUCUGUAGCUGGUCUGAGAGGACGACCAGCCACACUGGGACUGAGACACGGCCCAGACUCCUACGGGAGGCAGCAGUGGGGAAUUUUGGACAAUGGGCGAAAGCCUGAUCCAGCAAUGCCGCGUGUGUGAUGAAGGCCUUCGGGUUGUAAAGCACUUUUGGCGGGAACGAAAAGGACUGUGCCAAUACCACGGUUCGAUGACGGUACCCGCAGAAUAAGCACCGGCUAACUACAUG